ACCAGCGCUGUCCACCGAGACCCUCUUCUUCAUCUUCUACUACCUGGAGGGCACCAAGGCUCAGUACCUGGCGGCCAAGGCGCUGAAGAAGCAAUCGUGGCGCUUCCACACCAAGUACAUGAUGUGGUUCCAGCGGCACGAGGAGCCCAAAACCAUCACCGACGAGUUCGAGCAGGGCACCUACAUCUACUUCGACUACGAGAAGUGGGGGCAGCGCAAGAAGGAAGGCUUCACCUUCGAGUAUCGCUACCUGGAGGACCGAGACCUGCAGUGAGGGGACCCCAAAAAAAACCCCAAAACCCCCCCAAAAAAACCCCAACCCCCCCC
Passer domesticus (house sparrow) is the source of this 327-nucleotide long non-coding RNA. RefSeq lists it as uncharacterized. The record is from RefSeq and is a predicted model, not a curated record. The transcript is spliced from 3 exons. NCBI's taxonomy places the organism in Eukaryota, Metazoa, Chordata, Aves, Passeriformes, Passeridae.